This 263-nucleotide unclassified non-coding RNA is filed under the name plant metagenome. RNAcentral describes it as "partial contains small subunit ribosomal RNA, internal transcribed spacer 1, and 5.8S ribosomal RNA". The record is from RNAcentral.
GUUCCGUAGGUGAACCUGCGGAAGGAUCAUUAUCGUAUAACCGAGGUGCGAGGGCUGUCGCUGACCCGAAAGGUCGUGCACGCCCGAGUGCCCUCACACACAUCCAUCUCACCCCUAUGUGCACCUCCGCGUGGGUCCCCCUUUGGCUUGUUCGGAGGGGGGCUUACGCUUUCACACAAACUUUGUAUGCAGUGUAGAAUGUAUUUUUUGUUUUUGCGAUCACGCAAUCAAUACAACUUUCAACAACGGAUCUCUUGGCUCUC